CUUGGUUGUCCUGAUCAGGAAGGCUUGGUGCGACGAUGACUGGGUGAAAGACGAGCUUUCUUAGAGUUGGUAGCCUACAAGGAAGAACUCCCGUUAAUGCCACUGCUGUUUUGCCAUCGGUUUUCUGCGAUUUGGUGUAACUUGUUUGUGUUGUCUGCUAUAGACUGGCUGCCUGGUUAACGCUGUCGCUAGUUAGGCUACACGGCUGGUGUAGGCUACGCUUGGCUUGUCCUGUCGCCUAUGAAUGUAUGUCCGUGUCCUUGGUCUUUUUUUGGAUACGU
Long non-coding RNA from Alosa sapidissima (American shad), 281 nucleotides. RefSeq lists it as uncharacterized. The record is from RefSeq and is a predicted model, not a curated record. Lineage: Eukaryota; Metazoa; Chordata; Actinopteri; Clupeiformes; Clupeidae. The transcript is spliced from 3 exons.